Molecule: ribosomal RNA, 18 nt
Filed under: Teratosphaeria epicoccoides
Lineage: Eukaryota; Fungi; Ascomycota; Dothideomycetes; Mycosphaerellales; Teratosphaeriaceae
Description: partial 28S ribosomal RNA
Source: RNAcentral
GUGGACCUCGGAUCAGGU